UCCCUUCAAGAAUCUGAGGUUUGUGAGGGGAAAGGCCUUGUACAUCUUGUUCACUGCCACAUCCCUAGAGCCUAGCACACAGUAGGUACUAGGUGGGUAUCUGAAUGCUGUGCAAAUGGUCUGGUAAUGUGCUUUUACCCCUUUCAUUUAUUAACAAAAUAUCCCCAAGAAUAAAUUGAAUCCAAAAGUAAACUCCUGAA
This is a long non-coding RNA of Neofelis nebulosa (Clouded leopard), 200 nucleotides long. RefSeq lists it as uncharacterized. The record is from RefSeq and is a predicted model, not a curated record. Lineage: Eukaryota; Metazoa; Chordata; Mammalia; Carnivora; Felidae. The transcript has 2 exons.